GGAUGAUAAACUGUGACCUACUGGUUGGGUUCUCUCUGUUCUCAUGUUUCUUACAUGUUUGUCCCCUGACAGCCGGGUCCUAAUGUUUUUUGAGCAACACACCAUACUAUGACGUUUUUACAAUGAGGGUUCUACUAUGGAACCAGUUUGACAUGUUCAGGUGUUCUUUGUGUGAAAACUCAGAGAUUUCAGGGAUCAGAAGGUGGUUUUCAACUUUCUUUGUUAACUUUCUGCUUCAACUUUAAACUAAAUUUCCUUCACUAACCCCGCCCUCUGGACUUCCAGUAAGCUGUGUUCCUAUUGGCUGUCCAGGUGGCUGCUUGGUGUUAUCAGGAACACCUGAGCAGCUCAGUGUCUUCCUGCUUUAUUUAGCUGCAGACAAACAUUUCCUCUGCUUCUCUUCACCAGUGAACCGGGUUUGGCUCCUUUGCUUUAGCUUGUUCUUUAGGCGUUGGCUUGCAGCUUCCAGCAGUAAAAUCAUCUUUAAUGUGUUUCUUGGUGUGUUUUAGGGCUUUGUACUGGAUAGUUGUCUUGGUAAAUGUGGUUCUUUAGCCACAGUUAGCACAUGGUGCUAAUGUGUGCAGUGAUUAGUGGAUUUGGUGCAGGUGAGUUGUGUCUUUAUCUUGGCUGUAGUGAGUCUUUAGAGGUUUUGGUCAGACACAUUCUGUAUUCUUGUUUGAGAACCAACGUUGGUUGUCCAGAAGGUAAGAGUUCCUGUCCUGAUUCUCUGUUCUCAGAGGUUCUCUGGUAGGCUGCAGGAGACAUUAGCGUUUGGGUUGUGCUAGUUUGGUUUUUGUAAGGUUUCAUUUGGACGACUAUCUUGAGGCCCCUCCAUGUGGUUUAGUGAGGUUUUCUAGAACAGUUCUACAAAGCAACCUGCAGCAGAAGAGACUUUGAGAGUUUUUAGGAAGUUCUGGAGACCAGACUUUAGAGCAGCAGAAACAUUUGUCAGCAGUUUGAGCAGGAGAAGGUGAGCUUCAGAGUAGAAAUGAGAUGGAAACCUUCUUGACCCGUGUGGUGAGGUCCUGUACCAAGAGUUUGAGCAGGUUGUGAAGAGUCUGUAGUUCUUUGGUCUGAAAGCACAAGAAGAGUCGACUCAUUAAAGGAGAAAACAGGAGAUAUUGUUGGUUCUUCUGUCACUCUGCAGUUUCCUUAGACUGAAUAUCAAGUUUAUAUAUUAAAUGAUUUUCCAUGUGAGCCCAAGAAGACUUCAAUAAACUCCCUCCAUCCCCUGAACACAACAUAUUUUAUUACCAUGUUAAAUCUUUUUUUCUUUUAAAUAUGUUUUUGAGUUUUAAUCAUAGUUUUUUGUCUUUGCUUG
Long non-coding RNA from Amphiprion ocellaris (clown anemonefish), 1321 nucleotides. Lineage: Eukaryota; Metazoa; Chordata; Actinopteri; Pomacentridae. The record is from Ensembl.